This 235-nucleotide ribosomal RNA is filed under the name uncultured bacterium. RNAcentral describes it as "partial 16S ribosomal RNA". It matches the Rfam family "Bacterial small subunit ribosomal RNA", at positions 542 to 776 of the family's 1533-position model. The record is from RNAcentral.
UGUCCUGAUUCAUUGGGCGUAAAGAGCGUGUAGGCGGCCAGGUAAGUCGGUUGUUAAAACUGGAGGCUCAACCUUCAGAGGUCGACCGAAACCAUCUGGCUAGAGUCCGGGAGAGGAGAGUGGAAUUCCUGGUGUAGCGGUGAAAUGCGCAGAUAUCAGGAAGAACACCCGUGGCGAAAGCGGCUCUCUGGAACGGUACUGACGCUGAGACGCGAAAGCGUGGGGAGCGAACCGG